CAGGGAGACAACAAAAUGUUUAAUAUUAUUAUUUUGUCACCUUAGGUCGAUCGGUAUCUCACAUUUUUAAUUUAUUAAGAAUUUCAUUUCCUAAGUUUUUCUAGGUCACACCCAUUAUUUUUCCUGGGCCAUUAGCUCAGGUGGUUAGAGCGCACCCCUGAUAAGGGUGAGGUCCCUGGUUCAAGUCCAGGAUGGCCCAUAUCUCUAUGUUGGGGGUAUAGCUCAGUUGGUAGAGCGCCUGCUUUGCAAGCAGGAUGUCAGCGGUUCGAGUCCGCUUACCUCCACUGAUCACCACCUCUUCCAUAAUCGGUAGAAAGGAAAUUUUUUGAGUUGUGAUCAAAUUCUGAAAGAAUCUAGCUUCCUAAUGAAAUCAUUAAGAUGCUGGACUCAUUGAAUUAAUUUCAUUGUUUUCAGAGAACCUUGACAACUGCAUAGAUUAUUUUUAAAGACAAUAAGCAUCUUUAAUGAUGCAGAUUUAUUAUUUGUGCAAAUGCAUUAAUAACAAUUCUAUUAAGCUGAUGCUUCAAUAUUUGAAGUUAUU
RNAcentral lists this transfer RNA (541 nucleotides) under uncultured Prochlorococcus sp. RNAcentral describes it as "partial 16S-23S ribosomal RNA intergenic spacer". The stretch from base 212 to 284 matches the Rfam family "tRNA". Lineage: Bacteria; Bacillati; Cyanobacteriota; Cyanophyceae; Synechococcales; Prochlorococcaceae. The record is from RNAcentral.